UUGGCGGGAGUACCACGUGAACCCAGAACCAGGGCCCCCAUUGGAGCCGGAGUAGCUGAGUCUGGGGUGGACUUUGGCCCGUAGUAGAGAAACCCAGGUCGCCUGUCCUCCCAGGAGACCCCUUAGCACCCUGGCCUUGGAAUGGCUGGAUCAGGUUCCUGCACUGAUUCACCCAGAUAAAUACUGUGGAAAGCCAGCUCUCCGAUGCCAGGGCUGAGAUGAGCGCCAUCUUG
This is a long non-coding RNA of Arvicanthis niloticus (Nile rat), 233 nucleotides long. RefSeq lists it as uncharacterized. The record is from RefSeq and is a predicted model, not a curated record. Lineage: Eukaryota; Metazoa; Chordata; Mammalia; Rodentia; Muridae.